GGAUCCAGACUUUGAUCAUGGCUCAGGAUGAACGCUAGCUACAGGCUUAACACAUGCAAGUCGAGGGGCAUCAGUUUGGUUUGCUUGCAAACCAAAGCUGGCGACCGGCGCACGGGUGAGUAACACGUAUCCAACCUGCCUCAUACUCGGGGAUAGCCUUUCGAAAGAAAGAUUAAUAUCCGAUAGCAUAUAUUUCCCGCAUGGGUUUUAUAUUAAAGAAAUUCGGUAUGAGAUGGGGAUGCGUUCCAUUAGUUUGUUGGGGGGGUAACGGCCCACCAAGACUACGAUGGAUAGGGGUUCUGAGAGGAAGGUCCCCCACAUUGGAACUGAGACACGGUCCAAACUCCUACGGGAGGCAGCAGUGAGGAAUAUUGGUCAAUGGACGCGAGUCUGAACCAGCCAAGUAGCGUGAAGGAUGACUGCCCUAUGGGUUGUAAACUUCUUUUAUAUGGGAAUAAAGUUGUCCACGUGUGGAUUUUUGUAUGUACCAUAUGAAUAAGGAUCGGCUAACUCCGUGCCAGCAGCCGCGGUAAUACGGAGGAUCCGAGCGUUAUCCGGAUUUAUUGGGUUUAAAGGGAGCGUAGGCGGAUUGUUAAGUCAGUUGUGAAAGUUUGCGGCUCAACCGUAAAAUCGCAGUUGAUACUGGCAGUCUUGAGUGCAGUAGAGGUGGGCGGAAUUCGUGGUGUAGCGGUGAAAUGCUUAGAUAUCACGAAGAACUCCGAUUGCGAAGGCAGCUCACUGGAGUGUAACUGACGCUGAUGCUCGAAAGUGUGGGUAUCAAACAGGAUUAGAUACCCUGGUAGUCCACACAGUAAACGAUGAAUACUCGCUGUUUGCGAUAUACAGUAAGCGGCCAAGCGAAAGCAUUAAGUAUUCCACCUGGGGAGUACGCCGGCAACGGUGCAACUCAAAUGAAUUGACGG
Molecule: ribosomal RNA, 923 nt
Filed under: uncultured Bacteroidota bacterium
Lineage: Bacteria; Pseudomonadati; Bacteroidota
Description: bacterial SSU rRNA
Rfam family: Bacterial small subunit ribosomal RNA
Source: RNAcentral